Molecule: ribosomal RNA, 518 nt
Filed under: uncultured Glomus
Lineage: Eukaryota; Fungi; Glomeromycota; Glomeromycetes; Glomerales; Glomeraceae
Description: SSU rRNA
Rfam family: Eukaryotic small subunit ribosomal RNA
Source: RNAcentral
AGCAGCCGCGGUAAUUCCAGCUCCAAUAGCGUAUAUUAAAGUUGUUGCAGUUAAAAAGCUCGUAGUUGAAUUUCGGGGUUAGUAGGUUGGUCAUGCCUCUGGUAUGUACUGGUCUCACUGAUUCCUCCUUCCUGAUGAGCCGUAAUGCCAUUAAUUUGGUGUUGCGGGGAAUUUGGACUGUUACUUUGAAAAAAUUAGAGUGUUUAAAGCAAGCUAACGCUUGAAUACAUUAGCAUGGAAUAAUGAAAUAGGACGUUCGAUCCUAUUUUGUUGGUUUCUAGGAUUGACGUAAUGAUUAAUAGGGAUAGUUGGGGGCAUUAGUAUUCAAUUGUCAGAGGUGAAAUUCUUGGAUUUAUUGAAGACUAACUACUGCGAAAGCAUUUGCCAAGGAUGUUUUCAUUAAUCAAGAACGAAAGUUAGGGGAUCGAAGACGAUCAGAUACCGUCGUAGUCUUAACCAUAAACUAUGCCGACUAGGGAUCGGAUGAUGUUAAUUUUUUAAUGACUCAUUCGCGUCCG